This 1402-nucleotide ribosomal RNA is filed under the name uncultured bacterium. RNAcentral's name for it is "bacterial SSU rRNA". It matches the Rfam family "Bacterial small subunit ribosomal RNA". The record is from RNAcentral.
UUUGAUCAUGGCUCAGGACGAACGCUGGCGGCGUGCCUAAUACAUGCAAGUAGAACGCUGAAGAGAGGAGCUUGCUCUUCUUGGAUGAGUUGCGAACGGGUGAGUAACGCGUAGGUAACCUGCCUUGUAGCGGGGGAUAACUAUUGGAAACGAUAGCUAAUACCGCAUAACAAUGGAUGACACAUGUCAUUUAUUUGAAAGGGGCAAUUGCUCCACUACAAGAUGGACCUGCGUUGUAUUAGCUAGUAGGUGAGGUAACGGCUCACCUAGGCGACGAUACAUAGCCGACCUGAGAGGGUGAUCGGCCACACUGGGACUGAGACACGGCCCAGACUCCUACGGGAGGCAGCAGUAGGGAAUCUUCGGCAAUGGGGGCAACCCUGACCGAGCAACGCCGCGUGAGUGAAGAAGGUUUUCGGAUCGUAAAGCUCUGUUGUAAGUCAAGAACGAGUGUGAGAGUGGAAAAUUCACACUGUGACGGUAGCUUACCAGAAAGGGACGGCUAACUACGUGCCAGCAGCCGCGGUAAUACGUAGGUCCCGAGCGUUGUCCGGAUUUAUUGGGCGUAAAGCGAGCGCAGGCGGUUUGAUAAGUCUGAAGUUAAAGGCUGUGGCUCAACCAUAGUUCGCUUUGGAAACUGUCAAACUUGAGUGCAGAAGGGGAGAGUGGAAUUCCAUGUGUAGCGGUGAAAUGCGUAGAUAUAUGGAGGAACACCGGUGGCGAAAGCGGCUCUCUGGUCUGUAACUGACGCUGAGGCUCGAAAGCGUGGGGAGCGAACAGGAUUAGAUACCCUGGUAGUCCACGCCGUAAACGAUGAGUGCUAGGUGUUGGAUCCUUUCCGGGAUUCAGUGCCGCAGCUAACGCAUUAAGCACUCCGCCUGGGGAGUACGACCGCAAGGUUGAAACUCAAAGGAAUUGACGGGGGCCCGCACAAGCGGUGGAGCAUGUGGUUUAAUUCGAAGCAACGCGAAGAACCUUACCAGGUCUUGACAUCCCGAUGCUAUUUCUAGAGAUAGAAAGUUACUUCGGUACAUCGGUGACAGGUGGUGCAUGGUUGUCGUCAGCUCGUGUCGUGAGAUGUUGGGUUAAGUCCCGCAACGAGCGCAACCCCUAUUGUUAGUUGCCAUCAUUCAGUUGGGCACUCUAGCGAGACUGCCGGUAAUAAACCGGAGGAAGGUGGGGAUGACGUCAAAUCAUCAUGCCCCUUAUGACCUGGGCUACACACGUGCUACAAUGGUUGGUACAACGAGUUGCGAGUCGGUGACGGCAAGCUAAUCUCUUAAAGCCAAUCUCAGUUCGGAUUGUAGGCUGCAACUCGCCUACAUGAAGUCGGAAUCGCUAGUAAUCGCGGAUCAGCACGCCGCGGUGAAUACGUUCCCGGGCCUUGCACACACCGCCCGUC